GCCAGCAUGGCAUAGUGGUUUGAUUGCAGGACUAAGACUCUGGAGACCAGGGUUUGAUUCCCAGCUCUGCCA
This is a non-coding RNA of Phrynosoma platyrhinos (Desert horned lizard), 72 nucleotides long. Lineage: Eukaryota; Metazoa; Chordata; Lepidosauria; Squamata; Phrynosomatidae. The record is from the annotation of a GenBank genome assembly.